CUUGCGAACGUGCCGACAGCGUCCCCCGUCUCUCAGCUAGCCUCUUGUGAUGUACGCAGCGGGCUGACCCCUCCUCCUCCUCCUCCUCCUCCUCUUUCUCGGCGUCCCACGGCUUUACACCUGUGACGGAGUCACCGGGAGCUCUCUCUGUUUCACAGAUGGGACCCUCUUACUAACGGAAAAAUGCCACGGCAACAGGGGCCAGACGAGGUGGAGCCCGUCAGAUGUGGGACUGGACGGCGGCGUCCUAAUUAGAGCGGCGUGGUGUGAGGGCGACUGGAGGGCCGCAGUAUUACCGCGGAGGACACAAGCAUUUCAUCACGCACUCCCCGGCUUUCGGCCUUCCGUAGCCGCGAGAGUCGGUCCCAGGUGGUUUCCGUCACGGUGACCACACACUGUAACUGCUUCGAUCAAAGGUUAAAAGUGCAAGACACCCUUUCUCUUUUUUUCAAGCUGCUUUAUUGAUUCAUAACAUGUGGUAGAAAUGAUUUGUCUGCCCAGCUGUCAGUACUCCUGCUGUUACCAGGUUUGAUUGUUUUAAGUCUUUGCACGCCGCUGAAAAACUGGACUAAUCAGCGGUCCAGAUUCAAUAUGUACGUAAUGUUCUUUGUUCUUAAAAAGAUUUGAUGGAAUGGAAUAUUAAUAGAAUUGUAAGCAUUGGUCUGACAGUGACGUGUUUCCUGACCAUGGAAAUACACACUUUUGGUGGACACCAGCAUACUUUAAUUUGUCACUGAAAGAUUAAAUUUGGCAACAGCACAGUUUUCAGGCCACCUUUGUUCAAUUGUAUGACAGAAGUAAAAUGCUUUGCAGUAGGAUAACAGUAUCUUGUAGUCGUCAAGCAACACAUCAGAGGAACUAUGCAAUAACCAAAUAUCUGUGUUCUGAAAAAUGAAUGCACCCUCCAUCAUUUUUUGGUUUGUUUUUGUGAGAGAUAUCUAAUUCAGCCUCAAAGGUAUAUUGUUUUCUGCUAUGUAGACCAAUUUUAUUGAAUUGAUAUCAAAUAAGAUUCAUAUGCUGCCGUAUUUCUGCUAGUACUGUAAAUGUGGCCACCUGUAAACAAUGAAAUCUUAGAGUAAUGCAAAUAUGCAUUUUUGGACAUUCUA
Long non-coding RNA from Conger conger (European conger), 1106 nucleotides. RefSeq lists it as uncharacterized. Lineage: Eukaryota; Metazoa; Chordata; Actinopteri; Anguilliformes; Congridae. The record is from RefSeq and is a predicted model, not a curated record. The transcript is spliced from 3 exons.